GGCUGAUUCCCCCGGAAUGGAGCAGCGAGCCAGUAACGGCAGUGAAAACCGUUCACUUCUGAACACCACAAUAUUGCAUUGACACCCGGAUUUGCGACACAUUUAAACCUACCAGUUUUUACGUUGGAUUCCCGAGGAAAACGUUCUGGAUUUGUGACAUGAAGCUAGCAGUGAAGCUAGCAGCAGACUGACCACAACAAGCUAAAUCAGCUGAUGAAAUCAGUGUGGUUUGUGGUUGUGAGGCCAGUUGGACGUACU
Oncorhynchus tshawytscha (Chinook salmon) is the source of this 258-nucleotide long non-coding RNA. The record is from Ensembl. Lineage: Eukaryota; Metazoa; Chordata; Actinopteri; Salmoniformes; Salmonidae.